UUAUGUAGUCGGCACUUAAUGUAUAUCGGCUGAAUGGACGUCAGUGAUUGGUUGAAAUUACAGAAAUACGACAACUUUAACAUGGAAUACCUUAGGGAUUUCUUUUUUUUAAAGAAGACUAAGAGAAAAAGAUGUUUUAUAUGACACAUUCUACCAGUGUUCCAAGUUUCAAAGUGUUUCGUUAAUGAAAAAUGUGGCCCCCGUUUUAAAAAAGAUCCCAUUAUUAUUAUUAUUACAUUGCCUCUCAUCCUUUCGGAGUCGGUAAAAUUAGUACCAGGUGAACGCUAAAUCGAUGUGGUCGAUUAUCGCCACCCCUGAAACAAUCAUUAUUAUUAUUAAUAAGAAAAACCACACAAAAUCUAUGUGAAAUUUAGCUACCCAGAGUUUCCUAGCCGGAAUAUUAAAUUUAUUUUGGCAUUUGAAUUUCACCUGGUAUUUGUAUGUUAUUUUUAUUAAUAAUACCGUUUGGUCUAUUGUUGAACCUCAUGCCACGAAGUACAUGUGUAUGUGUUUUCAUCAAAACAAUUUCCUACUUAAUUGAAUUCAUUGUUGAUUUAUGACUAAUGAAAAUGUUGUCUUUCUCAAACAAAACUAUACGUACCAUUACAAAGAAUACUCUUGUGGGAAUUAGGUUUCCGCGUAUGAAAACCCGGUAAGUCCAUAUCUUACGGCAUUAUUGUACAAAGAAUAUUAGAUAAGGGAACAAAAUACAGAAAAACAAAUUGUAUAUCAACAUCAUUGUCUUGAUCAGUCUAGUGGCAUCAAAGGAGUUUGAAUUUUAUGGGCACCACUUCUUCUCUUGGAGUCUAAAAUAUUUUAAAAUUGACUCUGAGUAAAGUGGAGAUCAGACUAAGAGGCCCAUCACACAUUCUAUUGUUUUCUUACACUCAAGAGAAAAGAUGAUGCAAUUGUUCAAAUGUCAUUUUAGUUAGAUACAAGUUAGAUUUGGAGGCAUCAUCAUCAUCAUCGUUUGACAUCUGCCUUCCAUGCUAGCAUGGGUUGGAUGAUUUGACUGAGGACUGGUGGACCAGGUGGCUACACCAGACUCCAAUCUGAUCUGGCAGAGUUUCUACAGCUGGAUGCCCUUCCUAACGCCAACCACUCCGUGAGUGUAGUGGGUGCUUUUACAUGCCACCGGCACAAGGGCCAGUCUGGCAGUACUGGCAAUGGCCACGCUCAAAUGGUAUUUUUACGUGCCACCUGCACUGAACAAUUUGUGUCUUGAUAUGAACAUUUUUAAACCAGAAAUUAUUCAGUAUUGAAGUGUAGUUGAAUAAUGACAUUUUUGCUUUUGAUGAAACAUGAUUGAAGCUCUCUUUGAUUGAAGAUCUCUUUGUGAUUGUGUCAUCUGUAAAUCUAUUUGAUUAUCAAGCAUGAUUCCUGAAGGUGACAGAAAACAACGAGUAAUAUGAAACGCAGAUUUCAUGUCACUGGAAACACUUUAUAAUAAUAAAUCUGAAGGAAAACUGAUCGUUAGUAAAUCAUUGUUAUUGCUAUUUAUAUUGUUUGAUUAUAUACGUGGAACAUGUUUAAGCUAUUGUGCAUAACUACUGUCAGCAAGUUGAAAUUUAGUAAUAUCACCAAUCCAGAAGCUUCCAAUACACUUGCUUGUCUACCAUACAACUCAUGGGAUGCCUGUACCCUGGAGAGGAAACUCCAGUGUACCUUCACUGGGCUCUCACAACACAAAGAAAAUAAAUCUUUCCAGGCGUAGGAGUGGCUGUCUGGUAAGUAGCUUGCUUACCAACCACAUGGUGCCGGGUUCAGUCCCACUGCGUGGCACCUUGGGCAAGUGUCUUCUACUAUAGCCUCAGGCUAACCAAAGCCUUGUGAAUGGAUUUGGUAGACAGAAACUGAAAGAAGCCCGUCGUAUAUAUGUAUAUAUAUAUAUGUGUGUGUGUGUGUGUAUGUUUGUAUGUGUGUCUGUGUUUGUUCCCCCAACAUCGCUUGACAACCGAUGCUGGUGUGUUUACAUCCACAUAACUUAGCAGUUCAGCAAAAGAGAACAAUAGAAUA
Octopus bimaculoides (California two-spot octopus) is the source of this 2016-nucleotide long non-coding RNA. RefSeq lists it as uncharacterized. The record is from RefSeq and is a predicted model, not a curated record. Lineage: Eukaryota; Metazoa; Mollusca; Cephalopoda; Octopoda; Octopodidae.